GUAGGGUUGUGCAUGGAAAACACUCCUGCAGCACAUACUGUACAUACUGCCAGAAGUGAUUUUUAUGGACAAUCCAGUGUAAUUCAUAUACAUCCUUCAAAAACUGUUUAAAAAAAAAUCAAGUGGUUUGCCAACUUACCACAUCUUGCCAUUAUGUUAAAUAACCCCCUUGUUCUUUUAAACUAAUACAUUGAUUUAGAUUGUGACACUUUAAACUGCAGUUCACUCAGCUCUUACAGUUCAAAGCAGGCCAAAUCCUUGAAAAUCACAUGAAGAAUGUGUAACUAGAAACAAAAGAACAGUCAAG
Molecule: non-coding RNA, 307 nt
Organism: Pelobates cultripes (western spadefoot toad)
Lineage: Eukaryota; Metazoa; Chordata; Amphibia; Anura; Pelobatidae
Source: the annotation of a GenBank genome assembly